RNAcentral lists this ribosomal RNA (444 nucleotides) under uncultured bacterium. RNAcentral describes it as "partial 16S ribosomal RNA". It matches the Rfam family "Bacterial small subunit ribosomal RNA", at positions 338 to 795 of the family's 1533-position model. The record is from RNAcentral.
CCUACGGGUGGCAGCAGUGGGGAAUAUUGGGCAAUGGAGGCAACUCUUACCCAGCAAUGCCGCGUGAAUGAAGAAGGUCUUCGGAUUGUAAAGUUCUUUAAUUGGGGACGAAAAAAAUGACGGUACCCAAGGAAUAAGCCCCGGCUAACUACGUGCAAGCAGCCGCGGUAAUAAGUAGGGGGCAAGCGUUGUUCGGAAUGACGGGGCGUAAAGGGGGUGUAGGGGGUGGAGCAAGUUAGAAGGGAAAUACCUAGAGCUUAACUCAGGUGCUGCUUCUAAAACUGCUAUACUUGAGUGCAGGAGAGGAAAGGGGAAGUCCUAGUGUAGCGGGGGAAUGCGUAGAUAUUAGGAGGAACAUCAGUGGCGAAGGCGAUUUUCUGGACUGUAACUGACGCUGAGGCACGAAAGUGUGGGGAGCAAACAGGAUUAGAUACCCGGGUAGUC